UAUUAUCUAAUUUAGCCCCCGGUAAAUUAUAUAUAGGCAUACAUAUUACAUAACAAAUGGUCGAAGAAAAUUCAUUAGAAACGGUUGCUUCUUUACUUCCAUUUUCAUCGACAGUGUUGCUCCACGUGUCCUUUCCUGUUUUUUUUUUUAAAUGUGCAACACAUUGUAUUUAUUUAUUGGGAUAUUAUUAUUUUACUACUAAAAUUUUAUUGACAUAUCAUAUCAGUACUAAGAUUUACCGAAAAGUGCAUUUUACUGCCAAAGUUUUGCAAUAAUUACAAUAUUGAACUUAGUGUGCCUACUAAUUAUAUUGGAUGUAAUUAAUUUAUAUGCAAUAAUUAAUUAUCAUCAGAAUCAUUAACAUAAUAUUUGAUUACUUAGUAAAUAUUUUGAGUUACUAAUGUAAUCAAAUAAUUAUCAGGAUUAACAUAAUCAAAUAAUUAUUUUGAAUCUUUUUUUAUAGUAUUUGCAUCCAUAAAUCAAUUAAAUUUAUAUGCAAUAAUUACAAUAUUGAACUUAGUGUGCCUAAUAAUUAUAUUGGAUGUAAUUAAUUUGGUCAGCUAUGUUAGCUAGUGAGUCAUUUCAUCUAUACUGGUAAAUGGACCUACACGUUAAAGAUAGAUACUGCCAAUUUUUUUAAUUUCCCAUUUGCUCACUUAAAAAACAUGAUUAAUAAUGCUAGCUGAAAUCUACAUCAUCGAGAUCACCUUCUAAUAGCCCCAAAAAAAAAAAAACAAUUGUUUGCAAAUGGCUCAAAUAAAGGAAUAAAUGAAAAAUAAGGAAAUUCAAAUAACAUCAUUUUUAAUUUUGAUGAAAGUAAUUGGAU
This 826-nucleotide long non-coding RNA is filed under the name Citrus x clementina. RNAcentral's name for it is "Citrus clementina (C. clementina) long non-coding RNA (CCLE_LNC006203)". Lineage: Eukaryota; Viridiplantae; Streptophyta; Magnoliopsida; Sapindales; Rutaceae. The record is from RNAcentral.